AUUGAACGCUGGCGGCAUGCCUUACACAUGCAAGUCGAACGGCAGCACAGUAACUGGCUGCUGGUACCGGGGGGCGGACGGGUGAGUAAUACAUCUGCACAUGUCCCUACUUUGUGGUUGGGGCGGCGGAAGCGGGAUUAAUACUGCUAACGAACUACGGCUAAGAGCGAAAGAACUGCAGCCUUCGCGCUUUCGGGUUGGCCGAUGGCGGAUUAGCUAGUUGGUGGGGUAAAGGCCUACCAAGGCGACGAUCAGUAGCUGGUCUGAGAGGACGAUCAGCCACACUGGAACUGAGACACGGCCCAGACUCCUACGGGAGGCAGCAGUGGGGAAUUUUGGACAAUGGGCGCAAGCCUGAUCCAGCAAUGCCGCGUGUGUGAAGAAGGCCUUCGGGUUGUAAAGCCCUUUUGUCGGGAAAGAAAUGCUUGGGUCUAAUACCCCCGUGGUCUGACGGUACCGGAAGAAUAAGCACCGGCUAACUACGUG
This 486-nucleotide ribosomal RNA is filed under the name uncultured bacterium. Its description in RNAcentral is "partial 16S ribosomal RNA". It matches the Rfam family "Bacterial small subunit ribosomal RNA", at positions 30 to 507 of the family's 1533-position model. The record is from RNAcentral.